Molecule: long non-coding RNA, 263 nt
Organism: Pollicipes pollicipes
Lineage: Eukaryota; Metazoa; Arthropoda; Thecostraca; Pollicipedomorpha; Pollicipedidae
Exons: 3
Source: RefSeq, a predicted model, not a curated record
ACAAGAGAAGAGCUCCUGUGCAGAAAUCUGACAAUGCUGAUUCAUGCCAUAGAUCUACAAGGCAAAUCAGUGACAAGUCAAACAGCUGCCUUGCAUGCCAUAAUCAGUUGUCAUCCCAAGACAGUACAAAUCUCUUCUGGGAGAGAACCCAAUUCAGUUUAUGUUCCUUCAGUGAGAAGCUGGCCAAAGUCCUGGCUGUGACCCUGGAGCCUGGCCAGCCGGGCAGCGACGGCGUCUGUCGGCACUGCAUGGCGACGCUGAAC